AUACCUUAAUGUUGCCUCGGCGGAUCAGCCCGCGCCCCGUAAAACGGGACGGCCCGCCAGAGGACCCAAACUCUAAUGUUUCUUAUUGUAACUUCUGAGUAAAACAAACAAAUAAAUCAAAACUUUCAACAACGGAUCUCUUGGUUCUGGCAUCGAUGAAGAACGCAGCAAAAUGCGAUAAGUAAUGUGAAUUGCAGAAUUCAGUGAAUCAUCGAAUCUUUGAACGCACAUUGCGCCCGCUGGUAUUCCGGCGGGCAUGCCUGUUCGAGCGUCAUUUCAACCCUCAAGCCCCCGGGUUUGGUGUUGGGGAUCGGCUCUGCCUUCUGGCGGUGCCGCCCCCGAAAUACAUUGGCGGUCUCGCUGCAGCCUCCAUUGCGUAGUAGCUAACACCUCGCAACUGGAACGCGGCGCGGCCAUGCCGUAAAACCCCAACUUCUGAAUGUUGACCUCGGAUCAGGUAGGAAUACCCGCUGAACUUAAGCAUAUCAAU
This 490-nucleotide unclassified non-coding RNA is filed under the name Fusarium sp. R1. RNAcentral describes it as "sequence contains ITS1, 5.8S rRNA gene, ITS2". The stretch from base 121 to 274 matches the Rfam family "5.8S ribosomal RNA". The record is from RNAcentral. Lineage: Eukaryota; Fungi; Ascomycota; Sordariomycetes; Hypocreales; Nectriaceae.